CCUCUCUCCUUGUCCAUCACCCCUGGAGAGUCAGCCUCCAUCACCUGCAUGUCCAGUCAGAGUUUUCUUCACAGUAAUGGAAACACCUAUUUGUAUUGGUUUCUGCACAAGCCAGGCCAGGCUCCAUGGCUCCUGAUCUAUCAAGUUUCCAAACGCUUCUCUGGGGUCUCAGACAUGUUCAGCAGCAGUGGGUCAGAGACAGAGUUCACACUGAGAAUCAGCAGGGUGGAGGCUGAGGAUGCUGGGGUGUAUUACUGUGCUACACAACUUACACAAGCUCCUCCCACAGUGGUACAGCCCUGAACAA
This 307-nucleotide long non-coding RNA is filed under the name Marmota monax (woodchuck). Lineage: Eukaryota; Metazoa; Chordata; Mammalia; Rodentia; Sciuridae. The record is from RNAcentral.